CUGGAAACGGCUGCUAAUACCGCAUGAUAACUGAGGUUCAAAGGCGCAAGUCGCCUGGGGAGGAGCCUGCGUACGAUUAGCUAGUUGGUGGGGUAAAGGCCUACCAAGGCUGCGAUCGUUAGCUGGUCUGAGAGGAUGAUCAGCCACAUUGGGACUGAGACACGGCCCAAACUCCUACGGGAGGCAGCAGUGGGGAAUAUUGGACAAUGGGCGAAAGCCUGAUCCAGCAAUGCCGCGUGUGUGAAGAAGGUCUUCGGAUUGUAAAGCACUUUCGACGGGGACGAUGAUGACGGUACCCGUAGAAGAAGCCCCGGCUAACUUCGUGCCAGCAGCCGCGGUAAUACGAAGGGGGCUAGCGUUGCUCGGAAUGACUGGGCGUAAAGGGCGCGUAGGCGGAUUGCACAGUCAGAUGUGAAAUUCCUGGGCUUAACCUGGGGGCUGCAUUUGAUACGUGUGAUCUAGAGUGAGGAAGAGGGUCGUGGAAUUCCCAGUG
This 493-nucleotide ribosomal RNA is filed under the name Asaia lannensis. RNAcentral describes it as "bacterial SSU rRNA". It matches the Rfam family "Bacterial small subunit ribosomal RNA", at positions 150 to 675 of the family's 1533-position model. Lineage: Bacteria; Pseudomonadati; Pseudomonadota; Alphaproteobacteria; Acetobacterales; Acetobacteraceae. The record is from RNAcentral.